CAGCUCUAAGUGGGUGGUAAAUUCCAUCUAAAGCUAAAUAUUGGCGAGAGACCGAUAGCGAACAAGUACAGUGAUGGAAAGAUGAAAAGAACUUUGAAAAGAGAGUGAAAAAGUACGUGAAAUUGUUGAAAGGGAAGGGCUUGAGAUCAGACUUGGUAUUUUGCGAUCCUUUCCUUCUUGGUUGGGUUCCUCGCAGCUUACUGGGCCAGCAUCGGUUUGGAUGGUAGGAUAAUGACUAAGGAAUGUGGCUCUACUUCGGUGGAGUGUUAUAGCCUUGGUUGAUACUGCCUGUCUAGACCGAGGACUGCGUCUUUUGACUAGGAUGUUGGCAUAAUGAUCUUAAGCCAC
This 348-nucleotide ribosomal RNA is filed under the name uncultured Saccharomycetes. RNAcentral's name for it is "eukaryotic LSU rRNA". It matches the Rfam family "Eukaryotic large subunit ribosomal RNA", at positions 283 to 648 of the family's 3401-position model. The record is from RNAcentral. Lineage: Eukaryota; Fungi; Ascomycota; Saccharomycetes.